GACCCCGCACAAGCGGUGGAUCAUGUUGUUUAAUUCGAAGAUACGCGAAAAACCUUACCAGGUCUUGACAUCCCUUGCAAUGCUGUAGAGAUACAGUGGAGGUUAUCAAGGAGACAGGUGGUGCAUGGUUGUCGUCAGCUCGUGUCGUGAGAUGUUGGGUUAAGUCCCGCAACGAGCGCAACCCUUAUUGCUAGUUGCCAUCAUUUAGUUGGGGACUCUAGCGAGACUGCCAGUGAUAAACUGGAGGAAGGUGGGGAUGACGUCAAAUCAUCAUGCCCCUUAUGACCUGGGCUACAAACGUGAUACAAUGGCUAUUACAGAGGGCCGCAAAGCUGUGAAGUGAAGCUAAACCCUUAAAGCUCGUCGUAGUCCGGAUCGGAGUCUGCAACUCGACUCCGUG
RNAcentral lists this ribosomal RNA (400 nucleotides) under uncultured bacterium. Its description in RNAcentral is "bacterial SSU rRNA". It matches the Rfam family "Bacterial small subunit ribosomal RNA", at positions 920 to 1322 of the family's 1533-position model. The record is from RNAcentral.